UACGUAGGGUGCAAGCGUUGUCCGGAAUUAUUGGGCGUAAAGAGCUCGUAGGCGGUCUGUCGCGUCUGCUGUGAAAACUCAGGGCUUAACCCUGAGCUUGCAGUGGGUACGGGCAGACUAGAGUGCGGUAGGGGAGAAUGGAAUUCCCGGUGUAGCGGUGAAAUGCGCAGAUAUCGGGAAGAACACCCGUGGCGAAGGCGGUUCUCUGGGACGGUACUGACGCUGAGACGCGAAAGCGUGGGGAGCGAACAGG
This 253-nucleotide ribosomal RNA is filed under the name uncultured bacterium. Its description in RNAcentral is "partial 16S ribosomal RNA". It matches the Rfam family "Bacterial small subunit ribosomal RNA", at positions 524 to 776 of the family's 1533-position model. The record is from RNAcentral.